Molecule: long non-coding RNA, 862 nt
Organism: Xyrauchen texanus (razorback sucker)
Lineage: Eukaryota; Metazoa; Chordata; Actinopteri; Cypriniformes; Catostomidae
Exons: 3
Source: RefSeq, a predicted model, not a curated record
GAGAGAGAGAGAGAGAGAGAGAGAGAGAGAGAGAGAGAGAGAGAGAGAGAGAGAGAGAGAGAGAGAUGAAGCAUGUGUGAUAGCCUGUUGCCAAAGAAAUGCUGUCAGCUUUCUGGAGAUCAGUUUUCUCAGUGGAAAAAUCGCCAUCCAAGUGGGGGCCGGUGAAAGAGUCUUUCACUAUAGAAACCGCAAUAUCUUCCGCCAUUUUGAACAGUACAUUUUCUCCAAUGUGGAAACUCCAGUAAGAGUCUUCAUCAUGGUUUGCUGUGCUGCAUGGGGAUGCUCCAAUCGCUCAGAGAAAGGUGUGCAAAUGUAUGGCUUCCCCACUGACAUGGAGAGGAGAAAAAAAUGGUUGGCUCAAGUCAGCAGGAGCAAUCUAAAUAUAAAUAAAAAUUACAACAACAAAAAAAUAUGUGAGGCAGUCGUCCGAGGCACAUCUCUCACAUUGUCUGCGGCUGCGACCCUCUUCUGCUCAGACAGCCAUUGGGAAGCAGUCUUUCCAGCAGAAGUGGCACAGAAACUUUUCCCUUGGAAAAAACUGUGUCCAAACUCCAAUCUCUUUGGCUGUCCACACAGUCUGCAGGGAUAUCCCUUUGGGUCCGCUCGCCGUGCAGUGGCUUUGCCAUGGAUCAGGGCCUUCUUGUCCUCUUCGGCCCUCUUCUUUCUUCUCCAGGCUGUGGCCCUUGGCACCCGUUUAAGGGCUGCAUCAACCACAGCAGGAGGAGGAGGAAGCACAGCCAAAGAUGCACAAGGAGGAACUGUAAAAGACAGAAAAUAUAUUAUAGACAUUUAUUGCUUUUCAUAUGAAUUCAUUAUUCUACAUUCAUUCAUUCAUUCAUAGUUUAAAAAUCUUACCUGACAC